RNAcentral lists this ribosomal RNA (377 nucleotides) under uncultured Actinomycetes bacterium. RNAcentral's name for it is "bacterial SSU rRNA". It matches the Rfam family "Bacterial small subunit ribosomal RNA", at positions 976 to 1356 of the family's 1533-position model. The record is from RNAcentral. Lineage: Bacteria; Bacillati; Actinomycetota; Actinomycetes.
AAGGCUUGACAUAUACCGAAAAGCAGCAGAGAUGUUGUGUCCGCAAGGGCGGUAUACAGGUGGUGCAUGGUUGUCGUCAGCUCGUGUCGUGAGAUGUUGGGUUAAGUCCCGCAACGAGCGCAACCCUCGUUCUGUGUUGCCAGCAUUUAGUUGGGGACUCACAGGAGACUGCCGUGGUUAACACGGAGGAAGGUGGGGAUGACGUCAAAUCAUCAUGCCCCUUAUGUCUUGGGCUGCACGCAUGCUACAAUGGCAGGUACAAAGGGCUGCAAUACCGUAAGGUGGAGCGAAUCCCAAAAAGUCUGUCUCAGUUCGGAUUGAGGUCUGCAACUCGACCUCAUGAAGUCGGAGUUGCUAGUAAUCGUAGAUCAGCAACG